UUUUUUUUUUUUGUGACAACUGGAGCAUGACAAUGUGAUAAGCUUAAUUUGGAACACAAAAUGCAGUAGCAAAUCCAAAAACUUCUACAGCAGAUACGUGGAUCAUCUUCAGGGAGACAGAUGCUUGAUGCUGCAACACUUUUUGUUUAGGAAUAAAGAAACUAAAGAUGCCAGCUAUUAUGCAUGUGUAUGCAUCAGAACCAGGCAACAGAGCAGCAGCCAUGAACACUUGAACUGCGAAGUCAACUGCUCCACCAGCACGGCAGCACGUAGCAACCAGCAUCGGCAAAGCUCUCCUUAUCCCAUUUCAUAGCUUGCUCACAGACGUCGUGAUCUGGACCCAAACAUUGAACUAGGCACUCGUGCACAUCAUUUUGCCGCUGACCUGAACAACAACAAAGGAAAAGGCAUCGGCCUGUCAUGCCGAUAGGUGGUUUUGUUGCAGCAGCACAGCACCUUCUAUUCUCGCUAUGGAUACUGCCAACGACGCCAUUUCUUCAGUAAAUGCAGUUAAAUAGCCAGGCAUUCCAACUGAAGAUGUCACUGCCGUCUACAUUUUGUAUCAUUGCCAUUUAACACGAUUCAAAUCUCCAUAGAGUCCAUCAAUAGGCAAGCCAGAAGCCCCCUGCAUACAGCACAUAAAACAUUCUGGGUAAGUAAAUAAGAAAAGUUUUUGCCAAGCAUCUUAACUUAUGCAGAACAACUCAUGUUUCCAGUGUAGUAUAACAGGUUAAUCACCAUUUGCCAAGCGAUUGCAGAACUAAUUUCACAAGAAAGCUUACAAAUCCUUACAGGUUCAGCUCCGCCAAAACCAAAGGUGUAGUUCCUGAGAUGAAUGCGCGACGAGAACGACAGGAGAACCUCACCGUUGAGCUCCGACCAGGGUCCACGGCUUCACGCCAAGGCACCUCGCCGCCGCCGGAACAUGGAUGCAUGAUUUGGCCGAGGAAAGCACGAGGAGACGCAGAUGCGACCGGAAGAUCCCCUCCCAAGACCGGCCGCAGCUCUCCGGCAAGACCAUGACGAUGGCGGCGAGGGCGGCGGUUGUCGGCGGAUGUGAAGGGGGCAACGGCCAUGGGGGAAGAGCGACUGAAAGAUGGCAGGCACAAAAAUAGGGAGGAAUUUGCAAAAUGCCAGGUCCGGUAUUGGGGGGUUUAUUGUAAAUAAUCGGAUCGCGAUUAAUAAUUGCGAUCCAAAUAAGGGUUGUUUAUGUAAAUAAUCGGAUCGCGAUCAUUAAUCGCGAUCCGAAUCAGGGGGUUCUAUGCAAAAGUGUUCCGAUAAGGUGCCAUGUUCCACGGCCGCAUCGAUCCCCUUCCGGUCGCCGGCGGCGGGAGGAGUCGCGCGGGUGGAGGCUUGUGGAGACGCUUGUGGGAGGCAGCAGCGAGAUACGCGAGGGCACCGGCGGGGCGGCACACCCGCCGCUGACUGCGGGCUUGCGGCGAUGCCGCCGCUCUCAAUCGCCGCAACAGAAGACUCCGGCGACGAUCUGGUCAGCGUCGCCUCCCUCCCCUUUCCAUCACCAACCCCUCCUGUUCCCCCUUCCGAGAAAUUAUCCGCGGCAAGCGUGUGCAUCCGCGGCAGCUGCUAAUGGCGACAUGACAGCGCGAUUGCAAGUUCAAUCAUUCAGGACCUACAUAUUUGCAGGAACACGUGGUGAUCGAGGACGCUUCGCUGCGAGCGAGCACCCAAUGCAAAGGUCCACGGCUGGGAGACACGGCACGCCUCUCAAUUGAUCCACCGGAUCGGAAUGCUUGGGAACCUGGAGCUGGAGGUGAGCCAAGUCAACUAUCUGUUCGUUUCUCCACCGGCAACUUGCAGCCUUGCAGGUUUGAUUAACACAUCUCACGAUCUGGACCAGAUGCUAGUCUCGACGGCCCUUCACCCGUGCAGGCGAGAUUGCUACCCAUAAUGCAGACAUGACAGCCUCGUAAUCAAGAUCGAUGAGCGAUGAGAUUCUUGGGAGGUGGCUUCGGUUGCAGCGCAUGAGCACUUGAGUACACAUGAGAAUUAUUCUUGUUGUCUGCUGGUUCAGCUGGGCAAUUGCCUCCACCUCUUUUUCGCUAUAUAAACAAGGAAGCCGAAGCCCGGAAGACACCAUUGCAGCAGCUUGCCUUCGAUCUGUUUUCUCUCAUACUCCCAGUAGCUUCAGAGCAUCAAUUCCAAGGAUGGCCUGCCACCUGAGAUCUGUGAGUGUGCCUUCGAGCCCUCGCUCCAAUGAAACCAGUGUUGAGGAACAGCUACAGAGCUUGAAGGCAACCGUCUCUUCGCCUUCAGCGACCAUCGAAACCAUGGUUGGUGGUCUGAGCAAGCUCGGGAGCAUCUAUGACCGCAUCGAUGAGCUGCUCACAUGCUUACCCAGCAGCCAGAGGAAGGCGGUGGAGGAGGAGCUCGAGCGCUCCCUCGUCCUGCUCGACCUCUGCAGCGCCGUGCAAGAGAGCUUUGUGGAGCUCAAGACCAGCGUCCAAGAGAUGCAAUUGGCUCUCAAAAGAGGAGAUGAUGCUGCUCUUCAGACCAGGGUUCAGUGUUACUCACGCUCAGCCAAGAAGGCACAGAAGCUGUUCAAGAAGAUCAACAAGAAGACUGCUUCUGACAUGGAAGGCUGCAGGGUGAUCAAGCUGAUUGCUGAAGCGAGAGAGACUGCCGUGUCAAUCCUUGAAUCGACAUUGAAUCUCCUCUCGAAGCAAAUCACGAUGCCAAGUUCCAGCAAGUGGUCACUCGUCUCCAAGUCGUUCCAAAAGAAGAGAGUUGUGUGCGAGGAGGAGCAAUUGCAAGGGUUGGAGCUGGACAUUGUUGAUCUUGAGAGUGGAGUUGGGGCUUUGUUCAGGACAUUGAUCCAGAGCAGAGUUUCUCUUCUCAAUACUCUUAGCUUGUAGACAGAUCAUACAACAAUUCUGACCCCUUGCGAUUAGCAUCCGCCUUUUAGAGGAUCUGCUGAUCUAGAAGCAAAUUUUUGAUGUACAUAUAUAUGAAAGGAAGUGUACAGAAAAUUAGAUAAUGAAGAAGCAAAGUUUUUGAUCCAUUUCCUGUGACCUUUCUCUUGUGAAGAAUUUUAUGGGAGUUUCUGUUUGCCUAAUUUUUUGUGCAUCAUAUAAAGGGAAUCAAGACAAUACAUAAAAUUUAUACUGUUUUUCUCACCAUUAUUACAUAGUUAUAGAAAUACAGGUUGUUCAGUCAGUGCUCACAAUUAGUUGAGUCGGUCAUGAUAUUCUUAUUCACAUGAGCUGUGCCUCAACAGCAAGCACAAGAUCCUUUAUAGUGGAUCUUGCUCUCCAUGCAUAAACAUGCCAGCUCCAAACCACCAGUGCUGAUCUCUUAGUUACUGAUGAGUGUUAAUCCCUAGGAAAAUAAAUACAUAUGGAUUUCUUAAUGUUGUAUAUCUCAGGAAAUUAUACUCGCUAUGUACUUCAGUCUAUUUAUGAAUAACCUGAUCAUCCAAAAUAAAUUAUCUAACAAUUUUUAUGAAUGAUGCAUAGUAAAUUCGUAUAGGCAACUGUUUAGCAACCAGAUAAGAGAUAAUGUAUCCAGUAGACUGAACUUUUAAUUUUUUAUGAUGAUUAUUGCUGCUGCCACAGGAGCACAAAAUACACUAGUGAUGCCACAAUAUUAUACGACACGUAUGAGGAUCAUCUUGAGAAUUGAGAUUGCCAAAGAUGCUACACGCUGCAAUUAAACAAAAAAAAACACGGCAGCAAUACUGCAUGAGGGUUCUUAAGAACCAGGAGACAGUCUAGCAGGCAUGACCACAUGAGCAAUGAAGUCAACUGCUGCCUCCAACACUCACCAGCAUUCAGCAACAAGCAUCGGAGACAGCUCUUCAGCUCCUAUUUCAUAGCUUGCCUCAACCAUGUCAUGAUCUGGAUGUAACAUAAACUACUCACUCGUGCACACCAAAUUGCCUCUUGCCUAAACAAACAGGCAAACAUAAAGCAUCAGCCUGUCAUGCAGAUCGGUGGUUUUGUUGCAGCUGCAAAGCACCUCCCAUACAUGAGAUUCCUGUUGUCGAUACCAUCAACGGUGCCAUCUCUUCAUGUUGUUUGGUUAUAUAAAGAGGCGAACUAUAGCCUAGUUGUCACCAUGGAAGCAAUUCUAGAGAACAAGAGAGCACCACAAUUUCCACUACUACCAUGGCUUACCACCUCAGGUCUGCUAGCGUACCUUCCAGCCCUUGCUCCAACGAAAUCGACGUUGAUGAGCAGCUCCAGAGCAUGAAGGCAACAAUUUCCUCAUCAUCUAGCACCAAUGGAACCAUGUGCGAUGGUUUCAGAAAGCUUGGAGACAUCUACAACUACAUCGGAGAGCUUGCAUGCUCACCCAGCAGCCAAGUUACACGGCAGAGGAAAGCAGUGGAGCAGGAGCUGGAACGCUCGCUUGUGUUGCUCGAUCCCUGCAACACCAUGCAAGAGAGCUUUGGAGAGCUCAAAGAAAACAUCCUGGACAUGCAGCUGGUUCUCAAGAGAGGAGAUGAUGCAGCUGUCCAAGUCAUGAUCCAGUCCCACAUCCGAUUGGCAAAGAAGGCACAGAAACAGUUCAAGAGGAUCAGCAAGAAAUUUGAUAUAUUUGAUCAGGAAAGCUACAAGGUGGUCAAGCUGUUGUCUAAAGCCAGGGAGAUUGCUGUCUCCAUGCUAGAGUCCUCGCUGUAUCUGUUGACGAGGCAAAUUGCAACGCCAAGUUCUAGCAAGUGGUCUCUGGUCUCCAAGACAUUCCAGAAGAGAAGAGUUGUUUGUGGAGAGGAGCAAUUGCCGGAGUUGGAGUUGGACAUUGUUGAUCUUGAGAGCGGAGUUGAGGCUUCUUUGUUCAGGACAUUGAUCCAGAGCAGAGUUUCUCUUCUGAAUGCUCUUUGCUUGUAGAUAGAUCAUACAACAAGUCUGAUCCCCUGCAAUCAGCAUCCGCCUUUUAGAGGAUCUGCUGGUUACGAAACAAUCUUGAUGUAUAUAAUAGUGUACAGAAAAUACUCAACAAAAUGAAAGGAAGUUUUGAUUCAUUUCAAGUUGUCAGUCCUACACUUAUCCUUAAUCCUUCAUUUGAAGUUUGAUCGGUAAAAGGAAGUAAAUUUACUCAAAAGAUGCUCACUAUUAUUGGCAACCAUAAAAAUUUAGUAGAAAGUUCAUGUCUGUAAAUGAGAUGAUCACUGCUAAUUCACAUGGGAUGUGGCUCAACAACAGGCACAAGAUCCUUGUAAAGUGGAUCAUGCUCCCAUAACUCAUAGCAUGCCAGUUUUAUCCAUGAGAUUUGAGCUAACAAUUCUUAAUUGUUCAAAAGUCAAAUGGAAUGACACGAAGGGCAUAUAUGACAGCAGCAAGCAUACUAGAGUAAGCUGCCAUGCUGCUUCAUGCUGCCAAUACUUGAAACAUGACAAUGUGAUUCAGUUAGACCUAAUGGGAAAAAAUAAAAAAAUAACCUAGUGUGUUCAUCAUCUUGAGAUUGCAAAACUCACAUUCCAGCGAUGCCAACAGGACAGCUCUUAUUCUCCCAUUUCGUUUCAUGCUCAGCAAUACCUUGGCUCAUGUGCACAAGUUUGCUACCAGUAACUAGGACAUGAUAGCCUGAUAUGGUUGUCUAGAUGCCUUGCACGCUUGGUUGGGAUAUGAUAGAAGAGCAUCGCAUUUUGUUGCAUCAACAGAGUACCUCAUUAUCAGUAAGAUCAUAUCUGUCCACAAGGCCAACAAUGACACUUCUUCUCCUUGUUUCAAUAUAUAUAGAGGCAAGCCAUACCUGGUCGGCACCAUUGCAGUGUAGGUCCUCUUCUUCCUUGCACUUCUAGGUAAAGGAAAUAACUAAAACUUCCCAUACAACCAUGGCUGCAACCUCAGAUCCGCUAAUGUGCCUUCCAGACCUUGCUCCAAUGAAAUCAAUGUUGAAAAACAGCUGCAGAGCUUGAAGGCAGUAAUCAUCUAAUCCUCUGCAACAAUUAAAACCAUGUGUCACGAUUUGAGAAAGCAUGGAAAAGUAUAUAAUUACAAUGGCAAGUUCGUGUAUUGACCUAUUAGCCAGAUUACACAACAAAGGAAAGUAGUGGAAGAAGAGCUGAAGUGAUCUCUGAUCUUGCUUAACAUCUGCAAUGCAUUGCAAGAUAGCUUCUCCGAGCUCAAGGCAAGCAUCAUGGACAUGCUGCUGGCUCUCAAGAGAAUUUCAGGCCAACAGUCCUACACCUGUGUCACAGUCAAGAAGAUCAAUAAGAAGUCCCCUGUAGCUGAUCAGGAAAGCUGCAGGAUCAUAAAAAUCUUGUGUGAAGCCAGAGAGAUUGCCAUCUUUGUUCUAGCAACUUUUGCUGAAACAAAUUGUGAUUCCAUGUUCUAGCAUAUGGUCUGUGGUCUCCAAGAUAUAUCCCAUAAGAGAUGCAUUGUCUGUGAAGAUGAGAAAUUGCAGGAGUUGGAAUUGCACAUUUGUUGCUCUUGAGAGUGGAAUUGAGAAUUGAGGCUAUGUUCAUGACAUUUGAUCCAAACAGUCAAGCAAUUCUUUUUUUUUUCGAAAGACCCCAAACAGUCAAGCAUUCAUUCAUACUGAAGAUGCUGCUACUAGUAGUACUACUACCGCCUACAUUUUGUUGUUUAAAUUGCCAAGCAUCUUUAUAUGCAAAGUAAGUAGGUGAUUUUGAUGUUUCCAGCCGAUUCACACAACCAAACAACUAUGCACUACAUCUCCUUUUUUUUUCAAGAGGCUAACUAUCAACUGAAGUCCGAAUGCAAGACUCGAGCAACAGCAGGCAAAAGCUGCACGACGACAUUCAGAUCCAAGCGAUUUCUGCUGCGCCAAACCAAUUGAAGAUGCAGCCUUUUACAUUGGUCCAGACGUCCGGAGGCGCAGAGCGUCGGGGUCGGGGAAGCCACAGGAACGCUCGCCUGUGAGCCUCCUCCGCAUCGAGGCCUCGGCGGUCGGCACCGCCGGGAGGCGGGGGAGAGGGAGGAGAGGAGAAGACGAGGAAGGGCAGGUGCGGGUGAAAGGUCCGCUGCCGCGGCUACAGCACUCCGACUCCGGCAAGCCUAUAACACCGCCGCCGCAGCUGCUGCCGCCGGUGGACGGGAGUUUAGCGGGGCUUAAUGCAAAAAUCGGGAUCGCGAUUGUUAUCCACGAUCCAUCUUAUGGGGUCUUUUGAAACAAUGUGCUGACUAAGGCCCUCUCAGAGUUGACCAUGGCAGUCUUCGUGUUGACCGUCGGUGAGCUCCUCCCGCUCCCGCCACCGCUCGACGACGUGCUGCGCCCGCCGCUUUUCUCGCCGAUCUCCUCCCCUUCCAGAGAGCGCUGCCGGACUCGGCCGGGCCCCUGCUCGACGUCCAGCUGCUCCACCUCGCGCCACUCGAAGUCGAUCCGCCCCUACUAUCAGAGCUCCAGCUCCGAGGACAACGGUCACAAUUCACAAGGAUCGUAGACGACUGCGAUUUCUUGCCGCGAGAAGAGCGCCGCCCUCAGGAGAACCGGAGCUUGUACUUGCAGUUUCAGCUGCUUGGUCGAUCGAGUGGUCGGUUGACGAGGAGUUCUCCAGGGAUUGACACCAUGACCCGCCUAGCUACUUGGAACCACGCCUGACGCCGCCGAUGCCCCACAAGCCGGCGGAGAGACCGCCGGCGGAAACUCCAGCGGCGCCGUCGCCGUGCCGCGCGAUCCAUGCCGUCGAGGCAGGGAAACGACCAGGUCAAAGCGCAGCAAGUUGAAAUUUGGACCGUACGUGCCCGAUCUGACGGCUGGCAGGGCCCCAGGGUGGACGGUAAAUGAAAUACCGUCCACCCCCGGAAGGAGGCCGCAGGCGCUCUGCCUCGUCAGAAACAGAGUCGACGCCGGACGCCGUGGCGCGGUGCUCCACCGGCCGAUCGAGUGGUCGGUCGACGAGGAGCUCUCCAGGGAUGACACCAUGACCCGUGCCCUUUGCCUGGGAUCGGCGCGCUUGGACGCCUCAAGCAAUCCUUCUUCGGAGGAGCUGCGCUAGACGAAGCCUCGUCGGCAGGCGUCCGGGGCGCACCGCAACGUCGUCGCCAGGUGCCUCGAGCCGAGCGAGCAGGUCCUCGUCCACCGACGCCGCGCGCGCCUCGGGAGGCCUCGACGCUGGCGACGACGCUCGUCGGAGCAUCACCGGCAGCUAGCCAGCGCCAGCGUUCUGCCUUCAGCUCGUGCUGUUGGCUUUUGAAUCCAUGGGCCGCGGUGAACGGGGCGAGCAGUAGCGGCGGAGACGUGGCGGCACUCCGGCGGCGAGGCGACGCGCAGAGCGCAGGUCACAGACGGAGUCCCUGGCUCCCUGGCGGGUCGGGGACUCGGGGCCUCGCGGUUCGGUCAAUCGGGACUCGCUUGCGGUUCGGUCAUUGUGGGUCGCACGAGCUCCAUCUGACGGUUGGUAGGCACCCAGGGGGUGGACGGUACCGUCCACCCGGUCGGUAUCUGAAACACCGUCCGCCCCCCGUGGGGUCGCCAGGACGCCGUCUCCGCCGCACGCCGGGGCUCACCGGAGCGCCGCCGAGUUGGGCCGCCUCUUGCUUCCCUCACUCUCCUCCCAGCCGCCCAAGCUUGCACCACUCACGCCUCUCGGCUUCAGCUUUGCCCAGCAGCUCUGCUGCAACUGCCGUAGAUGUUCUUACGAAAAGGGUCAUGCUCUUACUACUAGUCACGAAAAGGGUCGUGUUCUUACUAGUCAGAUCAUGGCUGCAAGUCCAGUAGAUGUUACUUCAUGGCGCGAGAAAAGUGCCGCCCGAGGAGAAGAAGCUGAGCUUGUACUUGCAGCAGGAGUGUAGGACAGAGUGAUGGUGCUUGGCUGAAGAAUGCUCUCCGUUCGUUGUCUGAACGAUGCUGGCUGUCAGCAACCCAGUUCAUGGAGGCUGGACCGUGAGAGAUCUCAUUCCAAUCAUGAUCUUUACAGAAUUACAGGGUUCAAGCAGGCCCAAUCUGCCUAGUACUAGUACAUUAGUACUACUACUGCAUUCCUAGAGGAAUAAGCUAUUCCUCAACGACAAAAAGAUCCGUCCUCAUUGGAAGUGGAAUCCAACGAUCAAUGCACGCCCGUGCCGCCGACGAUGUCGGCGAAGUCACCCUCGUCAGCGCAGGGGAUGGUGAGGCCGCCGCAUCGGUGGUCAAAGCCGAACUCAUCCUCCACCCGCUUCAGCAUCGUUACGAACGCCGGGUGGCUCAGGCACGCCGUCGGGAUAACCAGCCGCUUCCUCCCCUCGCCGACGUACACCGCCAGGUGGCCCCUCGGCACGUCCGCCGCCGCCGACGGCGACCGGCUCCGGGCCAGGUGCAACCUCGUCAGCAGAUGCCCCAGCUUCCCCGCCAUUUCUAGCUUCUACCUUGAUGAUGGCCACACGAGUCGAAGUUCACUGGCUAUUGAAGGGUGAGAACUGAGCUUGCUAGUUUAUCCGAUUGUUCAAGAGUGAGUUGGAAGAGUUGUGAGAGCCAAGGCUUCGUUUUUAUAGGUCAGAUCAUCAUGGAGCCAACCUUUCAGCGAUCAAUGCUUAGCAAUAAACAAAAACAACUUUAGGCAAUCAAGAAUGGAAGCAGUGUAGUGGCACCACUUGCAGUAUGUGCCGUAGCAGUUUCUUGUUGGCAAUCAAGCUGGGGGCACGUCACAUGGUCCACUGCACGCAUGCCUAAAAGUGUCUUCUCGCAGCAUCUAUCAUCGACAUGAUCUUGCUGCAAGUAGCCGCCUGCCUUAGUCGAGUAGACGCAUGCUGGGCAACAGUACGGAUGCAUUGUACCUUGCACCAAAGGAGGAGGGCGCCGACCACGACCAUGACCAGCUCAAGAUCAGGCAGCUCUGGCCCAGCCGGCCGGUCCAUUCUUGGGCAAGAGCGUCCCACUCAUCUGAAGGUCAUACAGGUACUCUCUGAUCUGAGUAGGUGAGGAGAUGAACUGAAGAGGUAGGACUCAUUUGGAGGAAGAAUCUCACGCUGAUUUUGCAUCGAAACUGUUCUUCCAGGCGGACCCGAGAUAAUAAGUUAUCGGCUGCAUGAUUGCAGGGACACAGGGAAUUCUUUGUUCAUGUUCUUGCUGUAUCUGCUACCGUCGAUUAUACAUUAUACUAUAUAUGGUAUGAUAUCAUCAUCAUCUGCACUGCACAGAGAUUGGAAGGCGUGUCGUGAGCAAACUGUCUGAAUUUUUUAGAGCCUGCAUGAAUGGCUGCAUGGAGCAAGGAGCUGAUUGAGCACAUGGGCUGCGUGCAUCUUCGAGCUCCAAAGUUGUCGAGGCACACUGUGGCUCCAUACCGGGCUGAUGGAAACCAGCGGCAACGAGAUCAAACUUCACAUGGAUCGUUCUGGAUGGGGUCCUCUGGAAUUCUGAGGCAUCAACCCCACAAAGGUAGGUGGUGGAAAAGAAGAAUUUGGAUGCGUUGGCAUCCAGUGUUGGUGCUCGGCAAGUUUAAGCAUCCAAGGCACCAGAAUUGGCUUAAACACGAAUGAAAAUCAAAUGGUAAAAAGGAGUCUACUAUCAGAUGACCUCUCGUUGUGAUGCAGUGUGUGCGUGCGUGGUGACAGACCGGAGGACGCCCUCGCCCUGUCCUCCUCACCGCCGGACCUCACCCCGCCGCCCUGUGCGCCUAUGCGCGAGCAGCUGCAGCGGGCCGUCCGGGAUGCAACGAGGGCGGGAGCGGCGGCAGUCCCGAGCGGCGCGGCGUUGGCGAGCCCCGAGCAGCUGUCUUGGUGCUCGGCAGCCACGCGUGGGCGGGCCUAGCCCCGCAGAAGCGGACGGCGGCGGAUAGGCGGCCGAGGCCGAGGCCCAGCACGAGCGGAUGGCAGCGCCCCGGCAGGAGCGGAUGGUGGCUGAGGCCGCGUACCAGCAUGAGCAAACGGCGCCCACGACCAUUCACGCAGCACAGGCGGCCGGUGCCCGGAGAACUUGAGGCGGCGCGGGUGGAUGGCUACGGGCCUACGGACAAUGUUUUUAUUUUUUUAGUUAUAAAACAUGGGUCAUGAGUUGGAGGAGAGAGAUCGGACUGCCACGCGGGUCCCACAUGCUAGGUUCACAUCAGCGUCCCAAUCAACCUGCCACGUAUGGAGUUUAGUAUAGGUUAUAGAGAUUUUGGACGAAUCGAUUAAGAAGUUUAGGAAUUCAAAUGUGCAUUUUGGAAGUUUAGGGAUCUAAAUGACGCCUGCCGCCAAGUUUGUGUACCGCGGGUGCAAUUUUUAAAAAUCAAAUUUGAUCGAUUGAAAACGGAUGCAAAAUCGAUAAGAACAUUGAAGGAUAACAGGAUUUUUUGAAUUGACCAUUCAUGCUGAUCGAUCGUCGGCCCAAUAGUAGAAAGAAAGAAGCUCGGUCUGCAGGCCCAAAGAAAACGGGCCGAACCAACCUAGCCAGUGGUGGUGGUGGUGGUGUCGUUUUCGGGCCAUUAUUGAUUGAGGCUUGGUUGAGUUGGUACGAACGCGAGCCGAAUGCUACCGUGCCGCUGACGCCAUGCACGACGUUCGCAGCAGGGCAAAGCAGAUGUCCAGACCAGCAUCAUCCCACCGGCCUGGCCUGAAACAGCCUUGCCCCAACCUUCUUGGUUUUGGUAAUGCUUGAUGGUGCCGAGGCAGGCAGAGGUGACGUGCCGCUGUACAUGUGAAACCCCACCUUGUUUCUGCCGGGCCUCCAGAACGUUUCCUGCGUGGGGCGUUUGGAGGGGGUUAAAUUUUAGCCCCUGUGACAUCGAAGGUUUGGACACUAAUUAGGAGUAUUAAAUAUAGGUUAAUUAUAAAAUCAAUUUCACAACCCUAGGCUAAAUCGCGAGAUGAAUCUAUUAAACCUAAUUAGUCCAUGAUUUGACAAUAUGGUGCUACAGUAAAUAUUCACUAAUGAUGGAUUAAUUAGGCUUAAUAUAUUCGUCUCGCGAUUUAGCCUAGGGAUUCUGCAAUUAGUUUUGUAAUUAGCUCAUGUUUAGCCCUCUAAUUAGCAUCCGAAUAUUCGAUAUGACAUGGACUAAACAGUAGCUCGGAUCUCCGUCCCCAGCAUGCAUGGAGAUUGACGACGACAACAGGACGUGGCGGAGUACAUGAGUAAAUGCGUGGCCGGAGCCCGCGUUGUUUGAUGGCUCAACCGGGACGCAGCGCAGGGAUAUGAUUUUUGUGUUGCCGUACGUAGUGGUACUAGCACACACUGCUCUAUGGUCCCGCGCGCACUGCGGCCACCCUCGCCGGGGCGUCAGCCGCGACGCGAGCGUGCGUGCGUCACGUUGGUACGCGAAUGGACCCGUAGCUGUAAUCCAUCCCCAAGUCGUAACACAACUUGUCUCCCCCGCUUGCAUUGGGUGACCAAACAAAACUGCAAAGUGCAAACCAGACCGGCCGUCGUGCAACUGUAAGCAGGCCGGCAAAGCAGCACUGCCUGACCUCGCUGGUGCUGCUGAAGCUGAACUUGCCCCCCCACGUACUACUGCACCAUCGGCAGCCGAUGCAUGCGUGACGUGUCGGUCCAUCGUGGCAUCGUCGACCCCACUGGUCCGCGGCCACUUGGCAGACAGACAGAAAGAGGGCGCCGGUCGCCUCCAGUCCCGACCUGGGUGCCGACCAGGGGUCCCAGGGGAGAUGGAAAGCGCAAGCGCUACACGCGCUGCUGGUGCUUGUCCAAGCAAAGAAAACGAAGCAAGCAAUCUGCUGCUGCCGACCGGGACCGGGACCGGGCACGGCACAUGCCGUCGGCGUGCGGCAGCUUCCCUACAGCAGCCGCCUUGCUGGUUGCUGUUGCACCAGGCAUCAGCUGACGACCACCACCUCUCCCUCCGUCCCUCGGCUCUCGCGACGAAAAGCGGCCGGGACCGGGAGGGGAGCGCACGCCUCCAUGCCUGGGCCGCUGGGCGCGCCUUGCCUCUGCGUGCCUGCCCCCGGAACCCGAGUGCUGCCUGCCUUGCCCGCCCUCCCGGCCAGCCGGCAGCAAAGGCUUCCAAAGCGGAGCAAUGGAGCAGAGCCCAACGACCAACCACCCCCACCCGGGAAUUCAUGGGGUUGCCGCUCAUGAGGCCAUCGAUUGCGACCUGAUUGAUGCCACCCGACGGCACCGGCGGAUCGCCGGAUCGGAACACGGAGCACGGGGCACGGCACGCCACCCUAGGCGGGAGGCUAGCAGGUAGCAGCUCACAUGCCAAAGCCUGCGUGCGCGCAUGCACGGCUGCACGCUGACGACGACGCUCCUAGUGGUAGCCUCUAGCCGCCCAAGCCAAAGCCUGCAAGCCACACCCCCUGCCCCUGUCUCCCUCCCAUCCCGUCGCAUGCCACUUUGGUUGGACAUGCAUGAACACUGUAGCACCGCUUGCAGCUGUAGCCUCCUAGGAUGCCUGUGGACACGCCGGCCGGCCGGCGUGGCACUGGCCCAGCAGUCAGCCACUGGGAUCUUCGAUAACUGUAGUGAGCUGUCUGUCCUCCGCCGGGAUUCCAAUCUCACAGCCCCCCUCGUGACCUCCUCUGCUCGGUUCACGCAGUAGCAUACACUACUGCAGCUCGUGCUCCCGUCGAUGGGGAUGUGGGCCACCGGCCACGUCGUAUCCCGACCAAGUACGGUAUCGGCAGCAGUAGGAUCCGUUCCUGGAGCAUCCUCCACUCGAUCUGGAAUUCUGGAUUGUGGGUGGAGGUGGACCAACCAAACCAAGCAAAGCAAGGUGUACUCUGUACUGGAGGCCAGGCCGUUGGGUUUUGGCGCCAAAAGAAGGGGUGGUCGAUCGCGUGGACAGGACGGGCCUGCGCCUGCGAUUUGAACUAGCCCUGGUGGGGCUGGGGGGCCCCGGCCCGUUCGUUCCCGCUCCCGCCGUCGUCUAGUACGCGUCUCGGGCUCCGCGGCGGUUUUGGCGCCAACGCCGCGCGACACCUGAGAGGCUGAGACGUUUUGGCGCCAAGAAACAGCAGCAGGCGCGCGGCGGGGUCAAAGGUGGGGGGACUGUGGAUCCUGCUGCUCCUAGUCCUACCCGCGCCCGGCGCCCGUCCUGUCUUUUCCAGGAGGAGACGGUCCAGGACCGCACCACAUGGAAACAUUCUAUUCUCCUUUUUCUUUUCUUUUUUCUGUACUAAAUAAAAAUAAAAAAGAUAUAUAUAGAGACUAUACUGAUAAAAAAAAAUAUGCGUUGCGUGGUUACCCCUCCGGCUGAGGGAGCAAGCAGCCAUUGAGCGCUCCAGGAGGCACAUCCGCACGCGCACGUCACGUACGUGCGGCUUCUGCAUAUCGCUGCUGGCUCCAACCUGACUCGAGUCGUCGUGCUUAUGACCUUAGCAUGGAAGGAUGAACACUGAUCCCCACAUUCCAUUCUUUUAGUGGGAAAAAGAAAAUAAAUUUGAAAUGAUUUGUCAACAAGUUUAAAGUAGUGGGAUCAUUGGUCUGGAGAGUUGAAACCAGGGGCAGGUCAAACGAUAAAAGAAGCGUGAUUCCCCCAGGUCAACUGCGAUUUGCUAGGUUCCCCGCAUGCUUGUCCAACAAAACGGGGUUUUGGCCCUCUUACAAAUACUACUACUCCUCAACGGGACGCGCCAAUAGCACAGCCGCACUGGACUCCGUCCAUAUUUUUUUUUUAAGAAGAAUACAUGGUUACAACGCCAUACGUGAAUUCCGUUGUAUGUUACGGUCUUUUUUUUUCAAAAAAAAGAAAGAAGCUCGACGCUCGAAAAGAGGUCCAACUAAAGAGCCCUCGUUGCGCGUUAGGGGAGUUAAAAAAAUGUUGUUAACUAAUGUAUUUUUAAACACUAACGUGUUCUUAUUAAUAAUAUAUCUUCUUGUUGUUCUGAUUAAAAUUCCCACAUUCCAAACACCUCUUCUUACACAAUUAUGUGUUUUUUUCUAUCCUCUAUUUUACUACUACGCACAUUUCUGCAUUUGUUUUUCUAUCCUCUAUUUUGCUACUACGCUGUUAUCGCAUUUCUGCGUUUUUUCCCCUCUGCUUUUUAUUCCUUUGUCCCUUGUCCUUUAAAAAAAAUGUAGCUUUCAUUUGAUCGCGCAGUGGUAAACCAAAUGCUACUAGACGUCCUCGAAAUGGUGCCUGUCCUCGAAAUGGUAACGAUGGUUGAGCAAAGUUGUCGGCGAAAAAGGGGGAAAAAUACUAUUCUGUUUUUUUUUUAAAAAAGAAAGAACACUAAUGUGAAUCUUCCCAUACUCCGCCGCGCACCUUCGGGCGCUCGCAGCCUCGCACGAUCACACGGCACGGUCGGGCUCGCUCCAUUUGCUCCAAAGCCGCAGCCCGUUGAAUUUCCAGUAUGAACAUAACCCGCACGUUCCUCCACGGCUUGACAUGGCGCCGGUGAGGGUUAGGUUUGACUCGCGCAGGUCCCGAGGCGGCGGCCUGGCGCCGGCACGUCGCCCCGACUGACGCGGCCCUCGAGGCUCGCAAAAGGGCCCAGCAUCAUGUUCACCUACUGCCAGUAGCAGCAUACAGUACCCACUCCACGUCCCGGGGGGGCAGAGACAGACCGGGCCAGACAGACGGCGGGAUCACGGGACGGCGCGUGCACGUCGUCGCCUCGCCGGUCACGCGCGGGUGGUGCGCGGCACGUCGCCGCGGGCAUCCGCGCCCCCCACGACGCCAGCCCCGGCCGGAAUCGUGCGCCCGGUCUCCUGCCCCUCCUGCCCCCUGCGCCAACGGACGGGCAGGCGCCGCCGUGCCGGAUCGAACCGGCCACGUCGUCGCAGGGAAGCUAGCUACAGCUGGCUAGCUUGCGCCCGCCCGCCGGGAUGGCCGCGUCGUGCCUGCGCACGAACCCCACGCACGGCCGCACGUUCCGCAGCGGCGGAGCAGUGCACGCACGCACCCACCAUUAUUCCAAAGAUACCGGUACGUGCGCGCGUACGAUCCGAUCCAAUCCGGCGGAUCCCCGGCACGCCCCCGCCGAUUCCCGACGGCGGGCACCGGCGCCACCACACCGCGUGCCCUGCUCGACUGCUCUGCUCUGCCCGUCGUCGCCUCUACUCCGGUCACGUGACCGAUCAGCGCCCUGCCGCCAUGGAUCCAGGACCCACUCGGCGCACACUAGCCCGCCGCCACGCCCAUCGGGAUCCCGACAUUAAUGGCCGUCACGGCGCGAGCGUGGCGCCGAUGCGCAUGUAUGAGCGCGCGCGCGCGUCGCAUUAAUGGAUCAUCAUGGGGUGUGCGUGUGGGCCACACGUCCGGGACGGUACGGUACGGUGUCGCAUGAUCUCCUCCGCGCCAUAAGGCAUCCGCCGAUGUCGGGGGUGGUUGGAUUCACGUACUGGUUUGGUUUGUUUUGGUUCCAGUCAUAUUGGAAUAUCAAUUAGAAAGAUUAAAAGUGAACUAAUUGUAAAACUAUUGUAUAAGUUGUGGCUAAUUUGCAAGAUGAAUCUAUUAAACCUAAUUAAUUUAUAAUUAGCGCAUAUUUACGGUAUCACUACAUGGUUAAAUCAUGGAUUAAUUAGGCUUAAUAGAUUCGUCUCGCGAAUUAAUCUUUAUUUAUACAAUUGAUUUUGUAAUUAACCUAUAUUUAAUACUUCUAAUUAUUAUCUAUACAUUCGUCCUUGUCUUCAAAUGGGACUAGCUGCUCAUAGAAUAAUUUCUUAUAUUUUAAUUAAGAAGAGAAGAGCUAUCUUUUAAUAAUCUUAUACAACUAUUUCAAGAUUAAAUGACCUGUGAGCUACCUGCUGGCUCGCACUGUUGGAGUCGUCCUGAAUCCACCACCGGAUCCGUGGAAAUCCAGCGCCUGGGGACGGACGCCUCAUUGAACUCGUUCCGCGGGGCCCCUCGCCCACGGUGCACCACCACCCGAUUCGUACCAGUACUACGGAGCACGUACGUGCCACCGUCCUCGAAUCACAGAUCUCGCUGCCAUUCAUCCUCACAUCAGCUCUGCAUCGUGCAAAAUUUCAUCUGAGAUCACAAAAAGGCACUCCCUCGGAUUUUGACUUCAAAUGAUACUUUGACUUGCACUUUGUUUUAUCAAAACAAACUUUUUCAAAAUUGUGAACACUGCUAAAGUACGUGUAUUCCCCGUGACGAAUGCAGUGUCAUCUAGUGUCAUGCAUUGUGAAUUUAAACCGUUUAUUGUCGGAUCAAAUUUGUGGAAGCAAGUUUGGCCGCGCGAAAUCCUAAAAUGAAUCUGAUCUUCAUCGCUCGAUCGGGCGGUCGUGAGCGCAAUUGACACUAGUGCCCUUUUUAUCUUAAGCCGUCAUUUGGCUACUACUUGGCUGUCGUAUUGACAGGUUGCAUUCGUGCGGACUCACACGGCAGCUCCAAAACAAACCUCGGUCGGCAGCUCGAUUCGGAAUAUCUACGAAAUAUUCGAGCUCAACCCAGCUCUCGCUUCUCUAACUCUUGUCCGUUUAUUCCCCGACGUGUGCUUCUCUGCUUACCCAAAAAAUCACUCCUUUGGAACUACUAGUAGGGCACCUCUCCUAAAUCCGGCAAGAUGCCCUGCUUUGUCCUCACCGCCGUCUCCUUCCAUCCGAUCAAAAUCCCAACUUGCCAACUAGUAGAGCCGACUGAUAGGCAUAUCUCCACUUCAAAUCACAAUUCGAAAUUUAAGCAGAGGCAGCGGAGCCCGAAGCACGAUCGAUUUUAAAUUCGAACAGCAAGCAAAAACUAAAUUCGAACAGCGAAAAACUAAGAGGGGGGGGGGGGGGGGGGGGGGCGCUUUGGGAAGCUCCAACAGAAAGGAAAAGAUGCCCCGGCCCAUGUUUGCCGGUGCUCCCCGGGGGUGGCGGACACGGCCGCGGCAGCACGGGUGCAAUGACCGAACCGCCCUCGCCGGUCGCCGCCGCACCGCCGGCGGGCGGGGGCGUUUCCGUCAAUGCGCGGGGGCAGUUUGGGCUUCGCUUUGCUGGCGCCGCGCGCAGCAGCGAGACCCGGCAGCAGCGUCCGUAACGACGACGGAAAAGGGCGCGCGGCAGCCGGAACCGGGCCCACCGAUCCCCCCGACAGCUAGCGGAGCGCAGGGACAACUGCGCGAGGCCGCCCUGCUGGGCCCCGCAAGCCAGCUGCCGUGCUGUACUACGCGGUCUGCCUGCCGGAUAGCUGUAAAAACAAAAGAAUUCCUGCUACCGCUUGCGCGAGGAGCGGUCGUCAUGUACGUUCCGUUAAAAAAAAACAAAGAUUUUUUUUUACUAUAGUACCCCAGGUACUACUGGUAGCUCAGUAAAAUACUAGUUUUGUCCUACCGGUGUCCACUUUGUUACUUGCAUGGUAAAUGAACAUUUUUUCUCUUCUCAAUGACGUUGCCAUUCCCAUUUGAACUUCAAACCAUUCAAAUUUUAAAAUAUACUUUCCUUUUGAGAGAGAGAAGCUUUAAAACAUUCCUCCAACUGCAUUAGGUUGGUCGAUACGGUAUAACAACAACCAGAAAUGCCGUCCGGACAUUUUCUUUUCUAUAAGAAAAAUAAAAACCAAGAUGUUCAUUGAGCCGGACGCAAAGGGCGGGAAAUAUGCAAGUGCAAGGCAAGGAACAGCCACGCACCGUCUCCACGUGGCGACCCACCUGGCUCCCACACGAGAGCCGCUGCGACAGCAUGUGCCCCGCGGGACCCACCACCCUCCUCCUACCCCCUCCGGCCUCCGCGUCUUAAAUUCCAGCGCCCCGUCAAUUCCUUUCCCACCCCCCGCAUCCCAAUUCCAAAUUCCAGCUCAGUUUCUCAGAACAAGGCGAGCUGGGCGAGCAGAGCCAAGCCAAAUCCGGGGAAGCCUCCAAGCCGCGGGCGAUUCGGCCGAAGCGCCCCCUCGUCGCCGUCGUCCUCGUUACCUUCGUCCGCCCCUUGCUUUUAUAUACUGCGCCGGGGUUGGCCGGGCUCGCUCCGUGCGCGGAAGCGGCGGCAGCGGCGGAGCACACGGUGGGUGUCGAGGUGCUUGUGAGGAGGAGGAAGAGGAGGCCGGUGCGGAGAUGGAGUGGCUCGACGAGUACGAGAAGCUGGUGAUCCGGAUGAACACGCCCCGGGUGGUCAUUGACAAUGCGGUCUGCCCCACGGCGACGCUCGUGCAGGUGGACAGCGCGAGGAAGCGAGGGGUGCUGCUCGAGGCCGUGCAGGUGCUCGCCGACCUCGACCUGUCCAUCAACAAGGCCUACAUCUCCUCCGACGGCCGGUGGUUCAUGGACGUCUUCCACGUCACCGACCGACUCGGCCGCAAGCUCACCGACGACAGCGUCAUCUCCUACAUCGAGCAGGUAGGCUUGCCGCUGUCCUCGGUUUGGUUCUUGGCGCCGUGUGGUUGCCUCGCCGGCGCGGGCAAGGGAGAAAGUAGCGGCGUUUAUGCUGAUGCGCGUCGCGCGGUUUUUUGCAGUCGCUGGGAACGUGGAACGGGCCGGCGCGGCCGGCGGCUCUGGAGGGCCUGACGGCGCUGGAGCUCACUGGCGCCGACCGCACGGGGCUCCUCUCCGAGGUCUUCGCCGUGCUCGCCGACAUGGAGUGCAGCGUCGUGGAGGCCCGCGCGUGGACGCACCGCGGCCGCCUUGCCUGCGUCGUCUUCCUCCGCGGGGAGGACGCGGACGCCGCCCGCGUGGCGCGCAUCCUCGCCCGCCUCGGCCACCUCCUCCGCGGGGACCCAGCGGAGGCGCCCGGCGCCGUGGCAGCCGUCCCCGCCGCGGGCGUCGCGCACGCCGACCGCCGCCUCCACCAGCUCAUGGCCGCGGACCGCGACCAGGACCUCCGCGCGUUCCCGACGCCGGCCGUGUCCGUCGACAGCUGGGCGGAGCGCGGGUACUCCGUGGUCACCGUGCAGUGCCGCGACCGCCCCAAGCUACUCUUCGACGUGGUGUGCACGCUCCACGACAUGGACUACGUCGUCUUCCACGGCACCGUCGACACCACCGGCGACCAGGCGCGCCAGGAGUUCUACAUCCGGCACGCCGACGGGAGCCCCAUCCGCUCCGAGGCCGAGAGGGAGAGGGUCAGCCAGUGCCUCCAAGCCGCCAUUGAACGGAGAUCGCUCGAGGUAAUUACAGGAUCAUUCGAUUCAAAUGCUGGUUUCAAAAUUGCAAUGUUUUUGUAAUGAAAGAAGAAGAAACUAAUGUGUUUGGUUUUUUAAUUUGCAGGGGGUGAGACUAGAGCUGUGCACGCCGGACCGGCCAGGGCUGCUGUCCGACGUGACGCGAACGUUCCGGGAGAACGGGCUGCUCGUAGCUCGGGCGGAGGUGUCGACCAAGGGCGACGUGGCCUCGAACGUGUUCUACGUGACCGACGCCGCCGGCGACGCCGUGGAGCAGUGCGCCAUCGACGCCGUCAGGGAGAGGGUCGGCACGGACUGCCUCGUCGUGGGGGAGGAGCCCCGGCCGCAGCUCUACCGGAAGCCCGCGCCGGCCGACCGGGACCACGGCGUCGGCGGCGGCCUUGGGCUGGUCUACCUCGGCAACCUCGUCAAGAGGAACCUCUACAACCUCGGCCUCAUCAAGUCCUGCUCGUGAGAUACAGCGGACACGAUCAAAAUCCAAGAACACACCAUUCAUUUCGGCCAUGAGCUGUGGCCGUGCACUUGGAGACAUCUCGCUUGCUUCUGCAAUCGUUGCCAUGCCAUUGCUGUGCAUACAAGAUUCAGGACGACAGUGAGAUGCUGCGAAAAGGGAUGUGUGGUGGCUGAAAGCUCAAGCAGGGUGAAAGCUCAGGCAUGUCCCGAUUCAGUGGUUCAUCAGAGAUCCAGGAGCUGCGACCGACGCCAUGCCAUUGGGAGAUGCAGGAUGAUGGUAGAUGCUGAUAGCAGUAGGAAUUUCUGUAGCCAUGUACAUAGACAAAUUCGUUGCUGUGAGUACUAGCAGUAGCGCGUAGUAGCAGUUGGUGUGUGCAUUCAUCAUGUCUUCGGGCACAGGGGCCGGCCGGACGAUUUGUGAUCUGUAAAAUUCUGUACCCGCGCCGCCGCCUCUGGCGAAACAGCAUUCUUUGCCUCUUUUUGUCUGUCCUUGUUUGCCAGUAACUGAGGCUUUUCCUGCUGAUCUGCCGGAUCCAUCAUGCCCAAAUGUGGCUAAUCUCACCUUUGUCAGUUUAGGAUCUGAAAGGAAAAUGUGUGUGAUGUAGGAUUUUGUUGUGCCCUAAGCCCCUAGCAGGUGUAGGACUGAGCCCAAAUGUGGCUAAUCUUGCUUUAGCAAUUUAGGAUCUGGAAAGGGAGGAGAAGAUGGUGCUUUUGUUCUGGUUGAUUAGGGGUGGCUUGCAAGGGAAACAAGGUGCCUGGGUUGGGCCAGGAAGGGAGUGAUUUGUAAUCACAGAGCAAAGGACUCUUAGACUGGAGUGGGGGCAGGCAAAGCUAGGCUGCUGCUCCUUGGUCUUUUCCUCUUGUGGAAUGUCUGAGGUUGUAAUGCAAGUGAUUCAUUCACGGCAAUAAAGCUGUGGUCAUGCUAACUUAUAGCAAGUGUGGUGGGGGCACACUACUCAUAAGUCACAGAGCUCGGCUGCUGAGACUGAUAAAAUGGGGAGAAAAAUACAGUAGGAAAUCAGAAGGUGAAAAACAGUUACAUGCAAUCUGAGUCACCUGCUAGGCUGCUACUCUCCUAGAUAGAGGUCAAUUGGACUAUUCAAACACCAAAUUCUCACCAGAAAUGAACCAAAUUUUGUCCAUACAGCCGCCCGUAUAUUCCUAGUCUUUGCAAGGCCUGCAGCUCGUCCCCUUUCUUCAGAAUUCACUUGCCUUGGAACACACUUCCGACGAGCACGGCCAUGCAUGCGCGGCUGAACUCGGUUCAUGUCUAGUGCCUUUCUGCACUUCCGAUACACAACAACAGCCACUCGAUCGAGAUUUGGUGAGCUAAAGCAGCUGGCUUUACUCCGCCUCAAAGUGUACGAACAUUCUGGAUCGGAGCGGCGGCCUGCCCUGCCAAGUGCCAAAGAUUCCACUAGUCAAAAUGCUGAUGCCUCAAAAAAGCAGGGGUUUGGCCUUUUGCCCAGGGACGAGCAGCAUGGUUCGUGCAAUCGUGCAGCUAGCAGCUUGCUCUGAAUAAAAAUCCCUGCAGGCGGUUUUUGAUUUGCCUGGAACUAGAGUCACCAGCUCCAACAGCGACAAAACAAAGAGCUCUCGACAACUAACCGAGAUGAUGAUGAUGACGAUGAUGAGUGCAGCUGAUGUGCAUGUCCUGUCCAUGUUAUACUUUGCGGUUCAAGUUGGCUUAAACAAACACCGUGGUUCCGCGUCUCUAAUGAUAUAGGUCAGCUGCUAGCUCAAAUUUGAUAUGGAUCCCGUGAAUAAGGAAGCUUUGAAGGUUGUGUUUGAAAGAAAGCUACAUCGAAAAACGAGUGAGACUAGCUCUUCACUCCACGCUAGUCUCAUACAUUUUGCACUAUUUCUAGACUAAAAAAUUGAUUCAUCUAGCUCUAAGCUUACAUUUUUUAUGGUGUUAGGAUGAGGAUUUGGAAUGUUAGCACCUCCAUGAUAUGGCAGUUUCUAGCGCUCUUAAAACAAAAAGCUAAAGCUGCCCUUAGGCCUCCUCUAACAGUGCCAACUUAGCUAGUUCAUAAGUAUACCACAUCAGAUUUUUACCCAUGUGGAAGAGAAAGAAUGAUGAGCUAACCUGUUUGGAUCAAGUGCUAAUGGGUGAAAGUGUUAAAGUUUAGUACCUUAUGCAUUAGCCCAUUCAAACGGGAGGGCUAAACUUUAGCCUACUCCAAAAGGUGCAAAAAGUAUUAGCUAGUGGGUAGGAGCUAAUGGGUGCUAAUGGCUUGUGAAAAGGCCAGGGGGGGAGAAAGGGAGGAGGUGAGGUGAUAAAUGGGCAAAAGUGACAUUUCAUGGAUUUUAGCUCUAUCCAUUAGCUAUGUCCCCAAACAGGAGUGCUAACGGCUGGAAGUGCUAAAUUUUAGAUGGGCUAAACUUUAACACGUGCUAAACUUUAGCAAUAGUACAUCCAAACAACCCUUUGUUCAAGAGAUAGUCUCAUGCACACAUCCCUAAAUCAUGUGGGACUGACGUGUGAGGUGAUGUAGACAUAAGAGCCAGGUCUUGACUCUAAUUAUUGGAAGACUCAUCUCUUAUUCAACGUACGAGCUAAUAGUUGACUUUAACCAUUGGAGGAGGUCUUAGAGGCUAUUGAAAAAGGCAAAAGUCCAAAAAAAAAUUUCAAGCUACAUGUGUAAGAAAUAGAUUCUCUUGGUAGCUAAGAUAAAACUAGCUUAUGCACAAGUUAAGUUGUGCCGAAUAGGGUUGCUGGUCGGUCGUGUUUCACAGUCUCGUUGGCUUAUGUGCUGGCCAUAUAGGAGCCGGACUCAUUUGCAUAGGAGAAUGCAUGGACGGACGUAACCCCAGGGGGACAUAUGCCCUGUAACUCCACUAGUUAUUGCUUUAAAUUUCUAUUAAAAAAGAAAAAAACAUUAGCAUCUGUGUUUGUAUAUUAAGCUUUUCAGUUUCACUCAAGUAAAAAAUAUAGCAUCAUUGAUUGCAAGAAAUCCAGCUUUAUAAGUGAAAAAGGUAAGGUAAUUAGGAUAAUCAUUGAUAAUUAAUGGUAUUGCUGCACUCAAAGACCAUAAGCAAUCGAAGAGAUAUCCUCCAUUGGUAAAACAAUGAAGAUACUUGUUGAUCUCUUGGGACGUUGAACCUAUCAACAUGAUUAGUGUAUCAUUAUGAGAUUUUUAGGAGUUAAGACCAGGUACUACUCCAAACCCUCUCUAUCGUUAAUAAUAGGGUAAUUGAAACAACUCUCUUGUAAGCACGAACUAGAUAAAAAAAAGGCCACAUGCCCCAACCAGUAAUAACUAACCAAUUGUAUGCCGCUAUUGACAAUCACCCAGUUGUAUGCCACUAUUCACACAUUAUUACUUGUCACUUGAUAUGCAUGGGCGAUGGUUCGUGAGCGUGUAGAUAUGCACACAAUAUUGAUGCAUGGGCGAUGGUUCGUGAGCAUGUAGAUAUGCACACAACAUUGACUAUGAUUUGGAUCAGACAACCGACGCACAUCACAAGGAAAAUAUAAGUGCGAAUGGUUGAUAAACUACAAUUUCAUUGCUCUCUUGUAUCUCUUCUUACAUUGUUUUUCUGCUUUUUUACUUGCACAAGCGAAUUGAGAAAUUAAAUAAAGAGACUAGUUAACCGUAGUUAAGUUGUUUAGGUUUUUUUUUUACCGAGACAUGCUAUUCCGGUUCGAGCUCCGACCUGUCAUGGAUGCUCCUGUUGAAGUUUAAUUAUGACGUUCUCAUUUAUAGACAGACAAUUGUGGUGGCUUCUUUAAUCUCAUGAUCUCUGCUUAGUCUCUUGAGGUAGUCAUAAGGGUAGGGUAUGCAUAUGCGUGUUCAAGGAAUGAGUGUGCAUAUAUGUAUAUGUGAGCGUGUACACCAGUACUGUAUUUCGAAAGCAAAAAAAAAUGAAAAGAAAAUGAUUUCGUUGCUGUCAGUACUAGCAGUAGCGUAUAGUAGCAGUGAGCGUGCAUUCAUCAUGUGUUUUGGCACAGGGACCGGACGAUUUGUGAUCUAAAAUUCUUUGGGUUGCCACUUUUUGUCUGUCCUUGACUCCUUGCUAGUGACUCAUGCUUCCCUGCUGAUCUGCUGGAUUGAUUAUGCCCAAACGUGGCUAAUCUAACCUUUUCAUUUUUAGGAUCUGAAAGGAAAUGUGUGAGAGUGACUGAUGCUUUGCUGCUGAUUCCACUAAGGAUUUUGUUGUGCCCUAGGAUUCAGCCCAAAUGUGCUAAUCUUGCUUUAGCAAUUAAGGAUCUGGAAAGAGAGUGUGGUGCUUUUGUUUUGGUUGAUUAGGUGUAGCUUGCAAGGGAAACAAGGUGCCUGAGUUGGGUCAGGUGAGAGUGAUUUGCAAUCAGAGCAAGGGCCUAUAGGCUACAUACACAUAGACAUAGAGUGGGGACAGGCAGCUACGCUGCUGGCUGCUGCUCCUUGGUCUUGUCCUCUUGUGGAAUGUAUGAGGCUGUAAUGCAAAAGUGAUUCAUUAACAUUCUUACAUUCACGGCAGUACAUUUCUUCAAGAUUUUACUUGCCUUGGAACACACUUCUGACUGACGAGCUGGAGUUGCAUGAUGUUUACAGUACUGGCUUUCUGCAAUUCCGAUAACAACAACUCGAUCGAGGUUUGGUAAACUAAAGGAGCUGCCAGUUGGCUUUGCCUCAAAGUGUACGACGUUCUGCCCUGCUCUGCCGAGAUUCCAUUAGUCAAAUGCUGAUGCCGCAAAAAGCAGGAGUUUGGCCUUUUGCCCAGAGACGAGCAUGGUUUGAUUUGCCCGGAACCAGCGUCACCAGCUCCAACAGCAAGAAAACAAACCAAGAUGAUGAUGAGUGCAGAUGAUGUGCAUGUCCUGUCAUUGGUUGUAUUUUGGGUUGGGAACUUGAUGAUGACUGAUCAGGACAAGCCCUGCUGUGUUGUUGGCUUAAUAAACAAAACACCAGUUGGUGAUUCCGCAGAUCGAAGCAGAAUUGUGAGAUGGGAGUGGGACUAGCUAGGGUGGCGACAAGCAUGGCGAGACGGGCAUCUGUGGCCAGCGCAAGGUCCAAGCCGCCCGCACGGUGGGUGGCAUCUCCAUCACCACCGCCGGCUUUUCAUGGCGGCGGUUGGAUCGUUGUGCCCUGGUGUGUGCUGUCUUGGCGCAUGCGUACGUGUUGACCGGAUCAGUCAGGGCCUGGCUCCGUGACCGAGCCUGCAGGCUGCAGCUCAGCAGCUGCAUGGACCAACGGGCUUAGAAGCAGCCAUGUGCAUCGGACACUGUAUCAGUCAGACGAGAGGGGGAGGCAGUUUUGGUCGGAUCAAGGAGUCAACGUGCGCCGUGGAGGCUUAGGGGUGCCGCUAAAGUUUAGCGUAUGAUGUUUGAUAUUAAUUAAAAGUAUUAAAUAUAGGCUAAUUACAAAACUAAUUGUACAGAUGGAGUCUAAUUCGUCAGACGAAUCUUUUAAGCCUAAUUAAUCCAUGAUUUGACAAUAUGGUGCUACAGCAACCAUUUUCUAAUGAUGAAUUAAUUAGGCUUAAUAAAUUCAUCUCUCGAAUUAGCUCUAAAGGGGUGUUUGGAUACUAGGUGCUAAACUUUAGCAGUAUCAUAUCGGAUGUUCGGAUACUAAUUAGGAGGACUAAAUAUGAGCUAAUUACAAACUAAUUGCACAGAUGGGGUCUAAUUCGCGAGACGAAUCUAUUAAGGCUAAUUAAUACUCCCAAUUAGGCUUAAUAGAUUCGUCUCGCGAAUUAGGCUCCAUCUAUGCAGUUAGUUUUGUAAUUAGCCUAUGUUUAAUACUCCCGAUUAGUAUCAAACAUCUGAUGUGACAGGUGCUAAACUUUAGCGGGUGGUAUCCAAACACCCCCUAUAUUUAUAAUCAGACUAUGAGCUCCAACAGUUUGAGAUAGUUGCUAACUUAUAGAAAAUAUAAAAAAGAGAAAGAAGGUAAGUUAGUCCAAAAGGAUACCUCGAGGCUCGUGCAGUGAGAGAGGAGAGCAUCGGGAGAUGUGCGAGGUUAGCUCUUCACCAAGAGUUAGCUGGAAUAUUUUUACACUGUUUAUUACCAAUAUAACUAUAGAAUGUUGCCAAUACAGCUAUAGAAGACGAUAUAACAAAUACUUGGUCUUACAUUCCAUAAACAGAUUUCACCUGCAUAUACUAUCCAUUUUUCAUUGCUGGAACAUUGAAAUGUUGGCUAUCGUCCUCUUCUCUCGGCAAAAUGUUUCAUCCCCCACGCAAGGUUGAGGUAAACCCCCAAUUCCUUUUUGAGGACCAUGUCGUAAAAUUUCAAUCCGAAGCAAAAACCAGAAAAACCAGAUGCAAAUGCAAUAGUGAGCAGUGAAAGGCCGAAAAUAGUUGUAGUAGCAGGCACAAUCAAGCGGCGCCACCUCGUGUUCUUGUUUCUUCUUGCCUCGUCCAUGGCCUCUCUAUCAAGUUAAAAGACAUGGAUCGAAUGCAUAACUAUUAUUAGGAUCUUUUCGAUGCUGGGGUUAAAUAAAGAAAAAAAAUGAAAAAUAUUAUGUUGUGGUACCCCUCUUUACCUUUCGCUCAUGGCUUCAGCUUUAAUACCAGCUAUCUCUUCGUCAAUAAUUCUAGCCAUCUCUUCGUCAAUCUCCAUUCCCACGUUUUUUAAUUUCGCCAACAAAUGAUCAACCCCCUCCGUCUUCCUAGGGACAUCAACUUCAGCACCAUGGCCAUGUUCACCCUGCUAGGAUUAUAUUUAGAGGAACAAAGCUGAGAGGAUAGUGCAUAAGAGCAUAGGUAAUCCAUUCUUGACGUUUAGAACAAGCAAAUUAGUUCAUUUUUAGACUAAACAAUGUCCUAAACGUCGUAUCAAGAAUAGAUUUUAAGAGGUACAUCUAUCUAAGAUUCAGAAUUUCCCCAAUGGAUAAGAACAGUUACUAAGAAGGAAAAGCGCAUCAGAAGAAGUUAAUGGUGACAAGGACCGUCAGCCAAAUUACGACUCAGUUAGUAAUAGCAUGUCAGAAAAUAUAUAUUAUUUUUGCGAUGAGAACAAAUGAGGAAAUGUAAUCUUUCACAUUCAGAUUGCUGCGACACCCUAUUCCACGUCGGGUCGUAACCAGCUCCUGGUUCAUCAGUUCAAAGAAAUAAAGAAGAAGGAAUCAAAUCCCCACAUCGAGGGAUAGGUUUCUCAGCUCGGAGCUUUCACAAUGCAUUGUAUCAUGAUAUUAUAUCUAAGACUAUUAUUUAUAUGUAUUACGAUAGUCAAAACUCGAAAAAAAAACCUGACAGACCCAAAUUAUUGUAAGUAAAGGCCUCCCAAUCCUAAAAGGACCGUCAGAUCGUGGAUCGGGACGAGAUACCUGAGAGUUGGGAGGCGGCGACUGAUCUCGGGGUGAGGGUGGGGGCCGGUCCAUGGCACCGACUGGUCUCGCAGGCAAGAUCCGGGUGGCGGCUAGGGAUCGCUUGCUUCGAUUCUUUCUUUCUUUGUUUGUUUCUUUAAUUUGGAUAGAUAUAGAUGGAUGAUUUAUUAGUUUGUUUCUUGGGAGCAUCCUCGUUGUGGUAGAGCCCAAUGAGGACACGACGAGGCCCGGCCCAAGUUGAAACCGUGGCUCGAUCAGCAGCAUGGGAACCUACUAGCAUGACUUCUUUUUCAGAGCUAUAGAUGCGCUGAUCUGCCUUCAGUGUGCAGCCGUGAAACAGCGAGUAGAUUCUUAGAUAGUCGACACAAUCUGCAGAAAAUCCUGCUAUUUGCAACAGAAAAUCCUGCAAUUUGCAAACUUGAUUUCCAUUUUGAUCCUUCUCGAAGUCAACAAUUGCGUAACAAUUGAGCCAGUGCCACCACCUCGCUCCCGAGGACAUCAGCACGCCAAGAUAGGUGGUCGGCGUAGCACAGGUGAGUCAAUUUUAAUCAAGAGCACCCAUGCCAUGCUAAUACAAAAAUCAUUGACAUUUUUACACCUUCAACAUCGUUGCUUCACUGAAACCAAACAAAAUCAUUGACAUAACCAUCGUUUGCCUGAUCAUUAAAAGCAUAAGACAGUCGGUAGGGCUUUAUACACCUUUUAUACAGGAACAAAGUAUUCAGGUGUUUCACAUAAACCAAACAAACGUUAGUCACCAACUUUCAUGGUAGCAAGCAAUCUUAUUACUACUUUUCUAAUAAACCUGAAACAUGUUAGCCAAAAGGAGCUGGUAAAUAUGCAGAAGUUACGAAAAGGAGAUGACAUGGAAAGUAUGAACUAAAACAAGAGCAUUGCAAUUCAACAAACACAAUGUUCAAUGGCAAACUAUUUGACUUUGUUUUACCCAUCAUGCUUCUCAGCACACUACCAGUGUAGAGAAACCUAGUAGAGCCAUGAUUCAAUCUCUGCAGCAGUUUACCAACCAAUGGCUCCUAAUAUUACCAUGCUAUGGCAAUAAUACUGAUACAACACUGCAAUGAUACAGCAACAGCUUCUAGUAUUUGUUUCGAACCUAGGAUGUCCCCAUUCCCAUUAUUUAAAAAGAAUAGGAGAGCUACAGCAGACAGAUACGAGACUUGAAUCCCUAUCCCCCUCUCUACCAACUAGUUACCACAUCUGAUUCAGAUGUACAACGGACGAGCCACGUUUAGACUAUUACAAAUGUCAAACAGCCAGAGUACACGCCAGAACACAGGACCACCAACAGCAAACCACGGAAGAAACUGGACACAAAAUUCUCCCACAGAAAUGGUAACUUGAUCUUCUUCCUUGCCCGGGACGCCCUGUCAGUUUCAGACACUUGAAUCCCAGAUAAUGUCCAUCCCCAACCCUAGGGGUUCUAGCAUUGGCGGUGUUCGUCGUUGAAUUCGGGCAUUUGGCAACCUUCUAGCCAUCUGCAGCAGAAUGUUCACUUGCUCCACCAGCAUCUCUCAGACUUCCUCAGCAUACAAACCUGUUCGAUAAUGCAUAGGAGCACAUGCAUAACAAACUAUCUCAGCUGGGUUUUUCUUUUUUCCAUCAAAACAAGUUUUAUUUAGUGUUUUCCAGAUAGCCCACUCAGCUGGGUUUUUCUUUUUUCCAUCAAAACAAGUUUUAUUUAGUGUUUUCCAGAUAGCCCAGCAAAUAGCUGCUAUCCCAGAUGUAUAAAAUUUGUAUCCUAUUAGUAAGCCACUUAUUAACCCAAACCCAAUACUGAUCUAAUUUCUUGGUCUGCUAUCAGCACCAAUACUUUGAGCAAUAAUGGCCCAAGCAAAUUUUGCCACUGGACACACAAAGAACAGAUGAACAAUUUGUCUCAUCAUGAUCAGGUAAGUAAGAUUUUGGGUCUCCCAAUGAAUUGCUGUUAGUAUUUGAGUAUAUUCUGGGACGGUGGGAAAUAUCUUCUUGUUCACAAAGAUGAAACAACAAAGGAAAUUCCAUACAUAUUGGCUCAUCAUACAGCCAGCUAUAUUUCCAAAACAGGUAGAUGGGUUUGAGCUUGAGAAGGUCAGUCCAGACAGGGGAGUCAUCAUACCUGUGUCUCAUAAUGCAUAUAGUCUGACCAAAACAUGAUAACAUUGCUGAAAUUAAGCUUAAAUCAAAACAAGCAGAUAUCUUUGGUAAACAAUUUCAAGUCUGCCACAAAAUGUUAGGACAAAAAUGAACAGAUUUUUAUUCGGUAGUUAGCAACAAAAAUAAUGUGCUUAUAGCUCGAAAGUCGUUUUCCCUAGUUAAUAGGAUUAAGUAUGAUGGAGCUGCCGAAGAAAAUAAGAAUAGAAUUCAGCAAAAUGAUGCUGCUGUAUGUUCUAUAUUGCUUAGAAUGAAAUACCCAACAUGGAACAUCAACAUGUUACGAUGUAACCCAUAUAAAUAAUCACACCAAAACAACAUGUUCUCUUCAUAAUAUCAGCAGUUGCCAAAAAGCUUACUCCCGUUUUAACAAGGUCCAUCUUCAUUAAAAAAUGGCAACUUCCUGGCACCAUCACUAUGAAAAAUAGUCUAACGCUAAUUAUCUGGUCCAAUGGUCUAACACUAAUUAUCUGGUCCAGUGCCAUCGAGGGAAAAGGUCGACUGAAAACUUUAUUCAGAAAUCCUUGCUAAUUAUUGAAUCACCCUCCAUAGAAUUUUCAUUUUUUUCAGACAGACAGACAGACAGACACUAAUACACCAAUAUGUUACAAAUGAUAAGCCUCGUGCUUUAACUGUACCAAACUUAUGCCAAGACAAGAUAAUAAAGGGCCAGCUGAUAAAUAGAAAAACACAAUAACAUCAUUGAGGGUGAAUUACCAAUUUAAUGCUCCUCUCUAGUUCUUCUUGCGGUCCCUGCUCUUCUCCUCAGAACGCUUUGCUCCCCGAUGACCAUGUCGCUCGUCCUCAUCCAACCCAUUGUUCUCUGACCUGCGGUGCCUCCUCCUCUUGCCGGAUCGCUUCUUCUCAUCUGCGGACUCGCUGCCACCAGUGUCACUGUCAGAUGCAUCCCUCCGGUGAUGGCGCCGCUUGUGGUGGCGGCGGCGGCGCCUCCUUUCUUCACCUCCAGACACAUCCUCCUCAUCUGACGAGUCAACACUCCUGCGGUGGCUCUUGUGCCUGUUCCUGUCCUUCCUGCUCUUCCUGUGCCUCUUCCUAUCGGAGUCACUGUCGCUGCUGUCCUCAUCUGAUCUCUCAUGUUUUUUCGAUCGGCUGGCUCUCUUCUUCUUCUCCCUGCCUCGUGUGCCUUCCUCCUCACUGUCAUCACUCUUCCUGCUCCUUGCGUGCUUCGAUUUUCUCUUGCUGCUUCUGCUCCUACGGUGGUGGCUCGACUUCUUCUCUUCCUCCUUGGACCUCCUUCCCCCAUUCCUGGCACGCUCGCGCUCAGCGAUUAUCUUCUCCAGCUCAGGGUCGACAUCCGAAUCAGAGGAAUCGCUGUCAUCGUCCUCCUCUUCCUCAUCAUCAGAAACCCCAUCCGCGUCCCCACCCACAGCAGCCUUCUUCUUAAUCUCCCUAAACUUGGCCAGCGCGGCCGCCUGCGCCGCGGCCUCGGCGUCCGCGUAGUCGAGGUCGAGGUCCUUGACGGAGAGGAAGUUGCGGCACUGGAAGGUGAGGUGGCCGACGCGGCCGCACCUCUUGCAGGAGCCGCGGGUCUCGUCGGAGUGGGAGCCGGUGAUGCGCGCGAGCGCGAGGAGGCCCUGGAAGCUGGUGUAGGCGUUGCCGUCCCCCGCCCCGGAUCCGGACGAGGCGGAGGCGGCGGCGGCGGCGCUGGCUGCGGCGUCGUUGGCGGCCGCGGCUGCGGCGUUGGCGGAGACGGAGGAGGAGGGGCGGCCCGGCUGCUGCUGCUUGUUGUUCUCGGGCGCGUAGGGGUCGUAGCCGAUGGCGCUCUGCCAGAUGCCGUGCGUCUGCAGCGCCGCGCUGCUGUGCACGCGGUUGUUCGCCGGCAUGCGGACCCGCCCCGCCGUCGCCGGCAUCUUGGAUCGCCGCGGGUCGCGCUCGCCGGGGGAGGGGUAGGGUUAGGGUUUGGUAGGAGGGGAGGGGAAUUGAUUUGGGCUUCGAUUGGGGAACGCGUCGGCCCGUCCGCGGGGAGGGAGAAGAAGGGUCGCGGCACAUUUGUAGGAAACCCCCUGCAAGAAGUGCUCGUUUUGAAGUUGGCCUAUCUGACGAAACUGAAUGGCGAGCAUAUCCGGCUUGUUUUGUUUAGUUGGCCAAAUUAGAAGAUGUCAAAUUACUGUGAUGGCACUGUAGCACACUGUAGCGUUUCGUUUGUAUUUGUGAAUUAUUGUCCAAACAUUGACUAAUUAAGCUUAAAAGAUUUGUCUCGCAAAGUACAACAAAACUAUGCAAUUAGUUUUUAAUUUCAUCUACAUUUAGUACUCCAUGCAUGUACCGCAAGUUUGAUGUGAUGGGGAAUCUUCUUUUUGCAUAGUGCCAAAGUUGGAAGUUGGGGUGAAGUAAACAAGGGGCAGGUUUCCUGACAGAGAUGUUUGGAUAAUUUGGGGUGUAUACCCUCUGCCAAACUUUAGGACAUGUCACAUCGGAUGUUUGAUAUUGGAAGUAGUAAAUAUAGUCUAACUACAAACUAAUUGCAUAUAUGGAGUCUAAUUCGCGAGACGAAUCUAUUAAGCUUAAUUAGUCCAUGAUUUGACAAUAUUGUGCUACAAUAACCAUUUACUAAUGAUGGAUUAAUUAACCUUAAUAGAUUCAUCUCGCGAAUUAAACUUCAUCUGUGCAAUUAGUUUUGUAAUUAGCUUAUGUUUAGUCCUUCUAAUUAGCAUUCGAACAUCCAAUAUAACCCUGCUAAAAUUUAGCACAUUGUAUCCAACCACCCAAAUGUUGGUUUUGUCUCACCUUCUCAAUCUUCGGCAACAUUAACAUGUUUCAUGUCAUUCAAUUCAAGUACCGGAUCUCGAAGCCUUGAGCGGCGGCCGGGACAUUGCUUCCAGUUCAAUUCUGAUUUGGGACUUGCUAGACAACAUCUCGUGCGAAAGGGAACUUCCCAAGUUCCUCCUUUUGAUUCUUGUUUUUCACUCUAAAAUUGUACUAGAUCGUCUAUGAGUUUUUAUUUGAUUGUUGGAUGUACAUUACGGUAUGUGCAUCCUACUGAAAUUUCGAUCCAAUUUAUGACCCGUGUCUCCUUGUGCUGCAAUGCGUUAUUGGAGGUACCAGCUGUGGCGGAUCCACCUCGAAUUACCUUGAUUAAAGCAUAGUUAAGUCGCCUGACACGCGAUGCUCAUGCCUUAGUCAAGUUAACUCGAAGUGCCGUCGGAUUUCAUCCGAUUAAACCACUCCACAGGACCGAGUUUAGCGAACUCACACGAAGGUGAGUGGUUCCAGAGAAUACAACAGAUCCACUGAGUUAACCAAAUUUGAUCAUUUAGUUCAACAUCCAAACGAGAAUCAGAGUUUUUACAGGGUUCAAGCAGCAGAAAGGGUAAAAUAACGGAAGCUAGCGCCGGGGGUCGGAUGUCCCUGAUGAGACCGAUCAGGACAUCAGUGAUCCCUUUCCUCACCGUCCGAGGAGGGAUCCCACUCAACCGUCCAACCCGGAGGGAGCUGGGGCGGCCAAGUGCCAACGGAAGCGAACUCAGGAGCUGCGACUUCACCUGAAAAAGAAAGCCACGAACAAGGCUGAGCUGCUAGGCUCAACAAGACUUAACCGACCGGUGGUAAAACUACUCCACCACGUCUAGACAUGCAAGGCUCUUUGGCUGAGGGUUUGUUUGCCAAAAGCGACUAAUUUAGGUCCUUACUUUCAAGUUUUUAGCUCCAAUUCUAAGUUCAUUAACCAGUCUACAUUGGCAUCUUACUCUAAGCAAACAUGGAUCCAGCUUUAAGUAUAUAAACUCAUCACCAAGACCAUGUCAUCAUCAUCAGAUUCUUUCAUUACUCAGUGUAGCAUAGCGAUCAAGCAGUCUCAAACUGUGAGAGGCAGACGAAUUGAUUCGGGUUUCUUAACCAUGCAUGGCGAACCUAACCUCACGACAUCCGCUCACCACAAGGGUCGCUUCCUAUGUCGGCCGUCCCCAUCAAUUCCCAGGCACAUGUCAGGUCCAAACUUCCCUUGGCAUGCAAUGCUCCACAGUCCCGGCCUCUACCGUAGUGUGACCGCACUUGCACCCACAUGAUGCACCAUGGGAACCUCGUUCCAGGGACAGCAGGGGUAUAAGCCACGCCCUAGUUCAAUCAGGUACUAGGCUUCCCCAUCCCAUACUAGGUAUGAGAUUAGUACUUUCAAACACUUGAUCACGAACACCACCACUGUCGGGCCUUAACAAGUUCGAUAGACAGACGGGGCGAUCAACCGUCCUCCAAAAGAGUUAACCAAAACCCUGUCCCGUCCAUCGUCCUUAUAGUUGUAACAGAAGGAGAACAACCAACUCCUAUAACUCGCGAGUGACAGGAAAUCACUCGGCUUUUACCGAUACCUAUUUAAGCAGUGCAACUACUCGACCCAACAACUAGUGUUCAGAUCAAGGAACUAUGUCAUGCAUCUAAGGUUGCAAACAACUCCUAUACGUAAAUGCACAAACACGAGAAAGAAGGCAUGCGCAAGUUUGGGGAAACUUUGGGAUUCAUGCUCCGGGGCUUGCCUUCAAACGGAGGGGAGGAAAGCGGGUCUUCAGCUGGGGCGACUUCGGCUUCUGGAACUGGUAGCUCAGCUACGGCUCCGUCUUCUGGCGCCGGGUGUAGCUCGUAGACGCCGUCAGCAAGACGAAACUCUACACGCAUGCAAUGCAGGAGUUAGUGUUUAGACGGUUAUUUCAACAGCAACACUUGCAAGUCUUAGCCAAAAACUUGUAGCAAAGCUACGGAAAGAGUGUGGGGUUUCAAGCUUCAGUGGAGAGAGAACAAGACCAAGGGUCGGAUUGGGAGAAACUUAUGAUCUGACUCUUAAACCUUAAGGGAUAACUGCGGUUGGGGUCCUCGGAUCUAUUACAGAGAAGUCCCCGAAAUCUUACACAGAUACCCUCGGGUCAAGGAAAAAGAUACAGCCGAGUCCUCGGGCGAAGCAACUAAAGGUCGGCCAACAGACAGGGUCGGGCAAGACGGAAAAGGGGUCGGGCGAACAGAUAAGGUCGGGCGAAGCGGUGAGGGGUCGGCAGCUUACCUUCGGUUUAUAGGUGAAGCCUUUUGGGGUCGGGAAGGAGUAGACGUGGGCGGAAGGUCUCAAGCACUUAAGCACUAAGGCUUGGGUGGAGGCGAUGUCCGGAGGUGCUCUGGUGGCGGCGGAGCUUCUUGUGAGCAACAAGGAAGCUCUAGCACAGCGUGGAGGAGCAGGCGGCUGGGUGGAUUGGGGGAGGUACGGGUGUUGAGCGGAGAUGAGAGUUUCCCAAGAACUUAGGUGGCGGCGCUCAAGCACAAACAGAGGAACAAGGCGGCGAGGCAAUAAUGGCGAAGGGAACUCCAGUAGGGCUCUGGCAUUCCCUUUUAUAGCUGCGCGGAAGAGAAAGGGAGUUGGAGUAGCGCGAAGACUGGAAGAAAAGGGGGAGUGCGCUGCCAUGGCGGCGAUGGGCGGCGGAACAGGACUUCGAAGAUAGCGUCCUCAGCUAUUGGGCACUGGAGACAAGGUGGUGCAGGCGCGGUUUUGCCGGUGGUUGAGGUUUGGCGGAGGUGGGCGUCGUCGUGCGGCGGAUCUGAUGGGUGUGACAGGGGGAACGGCGCUAUAAGCGAGGUUGCACAGGUUAAAAGACAGGCGGGCUGCGGCUGCGCGGGCAAGCGCGAAGCAGCAGCUUGCCGCGUAAAGUUUUGGCAAGGCGGAAAAGACUGUCGCGGCCGGAGACGGGGUUGGCGACGGAGGAAUCGUCGCGUAGCGAGUUCGGAGCGGCGCGACUGUGGAGAGGCGGCGGAAAAGCCGGAAGGCAUCGGGCCUUGCAGCCGGGGAUCUGGCGAGAUGAUGAUGGGCGCGAGCUGCGAGGCAGUUUGGAUGCAGCAGGCGGCAAAGCUCUGCCACAGCGGCGUCGGAGCACCAAGGCGCGGCUGGCGAGGGCGCGAGCGAGACGGGGCGCUGCAGAAAGGGGUGCAGAGGGGUUUCCGCUGCGAUUGGGGAGGAGGGCGCGAGAAUCCAUUCGGUCGCGGCCGGCGAUUGGGCGAGGCGGCGGGCGGCGGCGAAGUUGAGCCACGCGGCGGGAGAGCUCCGAAGCGAUGCAGGCCGCUCGAGUGCGUCUGCCUCAGGAGAUCUGGGGAAAAAGAUUUGCGGGUCCACCCGUCAUUCCACCGGUCAUUCUCGGUUUCUCCUCUGCUUAGGAUCGAAGGGACACUGCCUUGGGGAACUCAGAAGGAACCGACGGGGUGGGUCGGGGUCUCAGGGGUCGGGACCCUGACCGGAGGCGGAGCGCUUAAGCUCAGGGGAGGGCUGAUACAGAGGGAUUUGGGGGACUCGGAUUAAGGUUAACUUGAAUGAUUUAACCGGGGUCGUUACAACAAUCCACUGAAAAAUAUACUUGAAUCACAGAGUCAUGUGAUCCACACGACAGCCUUUUUGCCCCCGAACCUUUCGUCUAUCAGAUUGUCCAAUCGGGCAAUUAUGCCACAGAAUUCAAUUGAUUUCCAGAUGCUUGACAUUACCGCUCCUACUCUUUUUUUAGGAACUAUUUUUUUUCAGAGUGGUACUUUGUUUUUUUCCAUCUCUUCUCCACUUACAUGUGAGUUCUUGGGCACUGGUCACCAUCAGGCAAGUGUUCUGCAACUCCAGCUAUCGAUUUCAGGUUGGAUCUAUAGAUGGCAACGGGCAUAUUACCCGCGGGUAGAGGGUUUAUAAACUCGCACCCGCGAGGCAAACCCUGUGCUCGCACCCGCGCCCGUGACCCGUGAUGGGUACAAACUUAAACCUGCGCCCGUCACCCGCGGGCACACUCGUACCUGCUGGCCAAAUGCCAGAUGGUGUCGGACUGUGUGGCGGCGGGAAGAUGGCCGGGCGUCGGGCGGAGCGGUGGCGGGGGAACCUCGCGGCGGUAAAGGGGGGAGGGGGGACCUCGCGGAGGGAUUCAAUGGCCGAACCGCCGAGGGCAGGCGGCGGCCGAUGAGGACCUCGCGGCGGGGGGAGCAAGGGCGGGGGGAGCGGUGGCGGCGUGCGGAGCGAGGGCUGGCGGGAGCGAGAUCCGCGAGCGACGCUGAGGACGGCCGGCAGGGACCUCGUGGCGGGAGGAGCAGUGGCGGCGGGGGGAGCAAGGGCGGGGGAGCGGUGGCAGGCUGGCGGCGGGGGAAGCGAGGGCCGACGGGAUUCGCGGACGUGGUGCGGUGUGGGGAAGGAGAGGAUUGGAGGAAUGAGGAUAAGGUCCUGGUGUGCGGCGGGAGCAGGAGGGACUCAUGGAACCCUAGAAAAAAAAUUUAUAUACUUGUGCUGGAGGCCCACAUGUCAGCCGGGUUCACGGGUUUGUGGGUAUGGGUAGGGUAUUUUUAUACCCGCUAAUUUUUUACUCGCGGUCACAAACUCAAACCCGCACCCGUGCCCGUGGGUACAAAAUGGCACCCGUAUCCUCGCCCUAACGGGUUUUACCCACGAGCACGCGGGUAAUUUGUACCCAUUGCCAUUUAUAGUUGGAUCGCACCUGAUUUCUAGACCUUCGCGGCAAUAGUUUUUAUGCCAAGUAGAAGCUCGCUGGAGACGAGAGCAGAGCUGCCAUGAGCAGGGUGGUAAAGGGCACUCUAAUUUAGCCUAACAAAUUUAAGAAUCGGACUUAAUAAGAACCGGGCUAUAAUAUUAUAUGAUUUUGCACUAAAAGUAGAUAGGACUGAGUUGGAUUGUGAAGGAGGUAUGAGGGUCAUGAUCCAUUACCACCCCUAAGCAUAAGCAACAAGGAUUUAGCUCACCGGUGGUGUCGUGGGAAAUGCAGUUAAACAGCGAGGGAAAAUUUAAACUGGGUGCUGACUACUUUUCGGGUGUAUGUUUUUUUUGCCAUCCGUCAGAGUGUAUGAACGGCUAAACAAAGUCUUUAAUGGAACAAUUAGCUUAGACAUGCAACAUGAUUAGGUUAAAUGAGCACUCCGACAAUGCGCAUAUGCCAUUCAAAUUUUAUUGGUGUCCUUUAAUUUUCUAAGUGUCUAAAUUAAGAUUAAGCAACAUAUACAUAUUUAAGCAACAUAUACAUACCAAGGCGUGGCGCCAUGCUAAAACUAUGGACCAUGGCGAAGACUAUGGCAUGACUCUAUUACGAAGUUGCGUCAUAAAGCUUGCAUGACAAAUAAAGUACAGAUUGUCAAUCUCGACUGCCUUCCAAAUCCCCACAAGCUGACCCUCCAAAUUUUCCAGGGGGCAUAUGCCCCUCCGGUGCCUAUAUAACUUCACUAAUAAUUAGUACUCCCUCCGUCCGCAAAAGCUUGCAAUUCUAGAGCUGGUGCUGUGUCCGAAAAAACUUGCAAUUUUAGACCUGUAAAAGCUAGCAGCGGUAGGACCCUCUGCUUUGUACCUUGAGGAAUCUGCUCGCAUCUCCCCAUCCAGCCAAUUAGCGAUCAUGUUAUGACAUGUUAUGAAAAAUCUAUCUGACUCCUAUGGGUACAUGCGUCUUUUUUCUCUUCACUAACUUCAUCUCGGGAACCUAUAAUCGCAAGCAUUUCCGGACAGAGGGAGUAAAAGUUUCUAAAAAAUGAUAUUCAUCAUCUGUGUUUACAAUCAACUAUUUUGCAAUCUAACAUGUUUGUAUCUUUUUGUCAAAUGUAUGAAUCAGGAUUAAGCAAUAUUGCACCAAAUUUAAUAUAGAUGCAUGUACCGAUCUAUACGUUGCAUUGCGGCGGUGUGGAUGCCUCCUUACGCGUGGCUUUUCAUGCAUGCUCCAAGCUCCCUCCUUGUUUCCUGAGCCGUGCUAAGUGCGAAGGGCUCCAUUGUCUGGCUCACAUUCACAUGAUCUAUCCAAAUGCACACUACGGAUGCAGAGAAUACCUUUCGGUCUCUGUUGUUGACUAUUCCCGAGCUUGCUUGCUUGCUUCUCCUCCCAAAUCCCCGUUGAUUUACCUUGUCUAGUGCGUAACCACGUGCUUGCCCGCCGCGCUAAUUAGCAAUUCUCCAAAUAUACAUGAGGGGCAUGUACCCCUCUUAUUCCUAUUGUAUAACUCCAAAGUUUCCAUAAAGAGAAAUGCUAUUGCUUGAUAUCAUUUGUGUUAUGUUUAGUCUGUUCAUGAUGAUCUAACCACUCUCAUCUUCACUACGAAGUAGUCUGAACCAGCAUUAAGCAUCAUUGUCCUCGCAUUCAGGGGCUGGGCACCUAUAUUUGUAUCCCUUUUACAAUAGAAAUAAUACAUCAGAUUCUUAACCAUUGGACUAAUUACUUUAAUUGUUUCAAUGCUCAGGGGCUACUCCAUAUGGAGUGCGUCUUGCACGCCCUUCAUGUGCUUCCCUUCAAUCUACAGAAUGCCAGACAUCCCAGGCUCGGCAGUCGCAUAGCCAUGCGUAUUUGAUCACACGCCUGUGGAAGCUUUAAUUUUUCUUCCUUUUUUGAGCACUACGCAGCCUCUCCAUCACUAUGACGACACCGCACCUUCAACCCAAGUUCAUUACAAGCUUCGUUGCGCAUCCGUCAGGUUCCUGUUCGACUCCACAUCGCUCGGGGGCUUGAGGGAUAAGGGUAUCCACGGGUCCCCAACGAUCAAGAUACUAGUCGGCCCUGGCAAGUGGCCACCCGACCGUGCCAUGUGGGUCAAGGCAUGAAGACGCGUGGAGCACAAGCCAGAAGGUCGAGCAAAUCAAUUCAGCCUGGAUAACACGGGAUACUUGUUGUAAACCAACUCAGAUUGCUUUCCAUGUAACAACCAAUUAGGAUUAGAUCCUAUCCGAUUAUAACCCUAGGUCGUCAGCCUAUAUAAGGCAGCUAGGGACGCCCCUCGAGGGCAGAUCGACUUUUCGCAUCCCAUACCAGCAGUAUAAUCCACCAGAACAUAGGACGUAGGUAUUACCCUCCGGAAGCCCAAAUGUCUAAAUCCUGUGCUCCUAUGUUACCAUUCGAAUUAUUGAUCUCACGAUCUCCCCCACCUACAAAUCUACCACCCGCAGGCCUACCAGCGUGAACAAGUGCUACUACGUAACUUCUUCGUCAAGAGAGUUGCGUAGCCACCUGACCAUGUAACCGGGCCCACUGUCAGCCAGAGUGCAAAACGAACACCGGCUAAUUGGCUGGCGUGCGACCUCCAAUGAGGUUACUCAAACUUGUAUAGAUAUAGGCAGGGCAGAUCACCAUUGCCACACUGAAUAUCAGUAUGACGAGGUCACGCAGGAAAUAUCAGUAGCAUGAAGUAACACAGAUCAACAAACAGUGAGGUAGACAAUUUCUACUGCUAAAUUUUAAGGGAUCAUCCAACAUGUAAACAAAUCCAACACAAGAAUUAAUAAGGACGCCUAAGGCACGCCGCUAGCACACAAACUUUAACUACACACACUCCUCUCUCUCGGACAAAGGUGUUACAAAACCGUAGGGUAGGGUACAACUAGUGUCGCGCAGCUACAGCGAAUGCAGUUAGACUCUCCUGCCUGAUUAUAGCCCAAUUAAACUGCCUGAUAUAGCCCAAUUAAACCUAGUGCGAGAUCUGCAGGCACACCUUUUACAAGUCAGGAACGAAUGAACCCAUCUAUCUUCCACCGCGAUGUCAGCAGAGAACUCCACUCCCGGUCAGUGUGCAACUCUGGCUGGACGUUUCAGGUUCAGGAUCCAGAGGCGGUCGUCUUC
This 40224-nucleotide long non-coding RNA is filed under the name Setaria viridis. RNAcentral's name for it is "long non-coding RNA (SVIR_LNC006412)". The record is from RNAcentral. Lineage: Eukaryota; Viridiplantae; Streptophyta; Magnoliopsida; Poales; Poaceae.